UACAGAGGGGGCAAGCGUUAUUCGGAAUUAUUGGGCGUAAAGGGCGCGUAGGCGGCCUGGCAAGUGGAAGGUGAAAUCCCUCGGCUUAACCGAGGAACUGCCCUCCAAACUGCUUGGCUUGAGUCCGGGAGAGGUGAGUGGAAUUCCCAGUGUAGCGGUGAAAUGCGUAGAGAUCUGGAGGAAUACCGAUGGCGAAGGCAGCCUUCUGGCCUAAUACUGACGCUGAGGUGCGAAAGCAUGGGGAGCAAACAGG
Molecule: ribosomal RNA, 253 nt
Filed under: uncultured bacterium
Lineage: Bacteria
Description: partial 16S ribosomal RNA
Rfam family: Bacterial small subunit ribosomal RNA
Source: RNAcentral